This 621-nucleotide ribosomal RNA is filed under the name uncultured bacterium. RNAcentral describes it as "bacterial SSU rRNA". It matches the Rfam family "Bacterial small subunit ribosomal RNA", at positions 28 to 635 of the family's 1533-position model. The record is from RNAcentral.
GACGAACGCUGGCGGUGUGCUUAACACAUGCAAGUGGAGCGACGAACCAGGGCUUGCCCUGGGGCAGAGCCGCGAACGGGUGAGUAACACGUGGGUAACCUACCCCGAUGACCGGGACAACCCGAGGAAACUCGAGCUAAUACCGGAUGUGCUCCCCCCUCAUGAGAGGGGUGAGUAAAGGAAGCUUCGGCCUCCGCAUUGGGAGGGGCCCGUGGCCCAUUAGCUAGUUGGUGGGGUAAUGGCCUACCAAGGCUGCGAUGGGUAGCUGGUCUGAGAGGACGAUCAGCCACACUGGGACUGAGACACGGCCCAGACUCCUACGGGAGGCAGCAGUGGGGAAUCUUGCGCAAUGCGCGAAAGCGUGACGCAGCAACACCGCGUGGGGGAAGACGGCCUUCGGGUUGUAAACCCCUUUCAGGAGGGACGAAGGCCGGCCGGUGAAUAGCCGUGUCGGUUGACGGUACCUCCAGAAGAAGCCCCGGCUAACUACGUGCCAGCAGCCGCGGUAAUACGUAGGGGGCAAGCGUUGUCCGGAAUCAUUGGGCGUAAAGCGCGCGUAGGCGGCCCGAUAAGUCCGCCGUAAAAGUCAACGGCUCAACCGUUGAAAGUCGGUGGAUACUG